UCAUGUUUUCAUGGUGUCUCUCCAGAGCACAAUUCGUCAGUGGCCUACUUUGAAGUCAUCCCACGAUUUCCACAUGGUUUGCAGAACUUUGAGAAUCUGGCUGAGAUUUAGGUUUGGCUCUCUGGAUCCUCCUGUCUGUAGCAUUCAUUAAGAAACCUUAGCAGAGUUUGGCUUUUGCAUCUCUUGGGCACGAAGGAUCUUGCUUUGAUGGGUGAAUUUAGUACUUCCUAUUUGAGAAUUAUAUGGCUAGUAAAUAUUUAAAGCUGGUAAUAGUUACGUGGGAGCAAACUUAUCUGUACAUGUAAAUUGCUUCUUAUCCAUUAAACAAAGGUUCGGCUGAAUGUGCUUUAAUGUUUGCCUUCAAAUUGCUGAAAGGUCAGGCAUAAUAAAUGCUGGGAGACAAAGCAGUGUAAAGGUAUCGCAUCUCAUAUGUGCCAUAAUGUAUUUGCACAUUCUGCAUUUUAAGUAUUGUAAGAAACCUCCACAUCUCUUCUUCUCCAGUAUCUACGUAAACACCCACUCAUGCACAAAAAUAUGUAGGUUUGAAC
Tinamus guttatus (white-throated tinamou) is the source of this 548-nucleotide non-coding RNA. The record is from RefSeq and is a predicted model, not a curated record. Lineage: Eukaryota; Metazoa; Chordata; Aves; Tinamiformes; Tinamidae.